UAGGAUAUAAAUAUUAAAUUUUGUUAUAAUAAUAUAUUUAAUUUGUAUUUUGUGUGAAGAUUAUGGUGUUUUUAUAGGGUAUGAGUACUUUUUAGGAAUUAUUUUAUUUUUGUUAAAUUUAGGUUUUUAAUACCUUUUGUAUUAGGGGUUUUUAAUGUGAAUAAAUAUUAAUUUUUUCUCGAUGAAUAUUGGGCUAUUUAAUUUUAUUUUUUCUCGUUGUAAAGAGAUAGUUAAAGAUUAAAUAGUUAUGAAAUAUUAUUCAAGAUGUUUUAUAUCUAGUUUUUCUAGAAUAAUAAUGGUGUGUAUAAUUAUUUUGGAUAUAAAUAGGGAUUAGCUUAUUUAUUUUUUAUAUACUUAUUUUAUAGUUUUUUGUUUGUGGAGUUAAAAGUUCUUAUUAUUAUGGUAUUAUUACAGAAUAAAGUUUUUUUAUAUUUUUUUAAUUUUAUAUUGACAUGGAGAAGAUUAUUUUAAUUUUAAAUAUUAAUGGUAUAAUGAUGAUAUUAGUAAUAUUCAAUAUUUAUAGUUUAAGUUUUGGAUAAAAAUGUUAAUUAUAAAGAUUAGCUAUUAAUAAUAAAGAAUUAGGCAAAGAUUGACCUUUGACUGUUUAGCAAAAACAUUGUUUUUUGUGAAAAAUAAAAAAUAAUUUCUGCCCACUGUUUUUAAUAAAGGGCUGCAGUAUUUUGACUGUAUUAAGGUAGCAUAAUCAUUAGCUUUUUAAUUAGAAGCUGGUAUGAAGGGGAAACAGAGGUUUGCUGUUUUAUUAUUAAAUAAUGAAUUUUAUUUUUAUGUGAAAAAUCAUAAGUUUAUUAAAGGGACAAGAAGACCCUAGUAAGUUUAAUUUUUUAUUUUUAAUGCAUAUAUAGGGAUAAAAAUUUAUAUAAUUUAUUAUAUUUAAUUUAACUGGGGCGGUGUGUUAUUAAACAUAGCUUAUUUUUAAUUUAUCUGAUAGCGAUUAGAGGGACCUAAUGGGGUUAGUUAAGUGUAAAACUACUGCAGGGAUAACAGCGUAAUUUUUUUUGAGAGUUCUUAUUAACAAGAAAGUUUGCGACCUCGAUG
RNAcentral lists this ribosomal RNA (1056 nucleotides) under Anombrocheir bifurcata. Its description in RNAcentral is "partial large subunit ribosomal RNA". The record is from RNAcentral. Lineage: Eukaryota; Metazoa; Arthropoda; Diplopoda; Polydesmida; Xystodesmidae.